UAGGGAAUCUUCCGCAAUGGACGCAAGUCUGACGGAGCAACGCCGCGUGAGUGAUGAAGGUUUUCGGAUCGUAAAGCUCUGUUGCCAGGGAAGAACGCCUCGGAGAGUAACUGCUCUGAGGGUGACGGUACCUGAGAAGAAAGCCCCGGCUAACUACGUGCCAGCAGCCGCGGUAAUACGUAGGGGGCAAGCGUUGUCCGGAAUUAUUGGGCGUAAAGCGCGCGCAGGCGGUGAUUUAAGUUUGGUGUUUAAGCCCGGGGCUCAACCCCGGAUCGCACUGAAAACUGGAUGACUUGAGUGCGAGAGAGGAAAGUGGAAUUCCACGUGUAGCGGUGAAAUGCGUAGAGAUGUGGAGGAACACCAGUGGCGAAGGCGACUUUCUGGCUCGUAACUGACGCUGAGGCGCGAAAGCGUGGGGAGCAAACAG
RNAcentral lists this ribosomal RNA (427 nucleotides) under uncultured bacterium. RNAcentral describes it as "bacterial SSU rRNA". It matches the Rfam family "Bacterial small subunit ribosomal RNA", at positions 355 to 775 of the family's 1533-position model. The record is from RNAcentral.